Molecule: ribosomal RNA, 506 nt
Filed under: uncultured bacterium
Lineage: Bacteria
Description: partial 16S ribosomal RNA
Rfam family: Bacterial small subunit ribosomal RNA
Source: RNAcentral
AUUGAACGCUGGCGGCAGGCCUAACACAUGCAAGUCGGACGGUAGCACAGGGGAGCUUGCUCCUCGGGUGACGAGUGGCGGACGGGUGAGUAAUGUCUGGGGAUCUGCCCGAUAGAGGGGGAUAACCACUGGAAACGGUGGCUAAUACCGCAUAAUGUCGCAAGACCAAAGAGGGGGACCUUCGGGCCUCUCACUAUCGGAUGAACCCAGAUGGGAUUAGCUAGUAGGCGGGGUAACGGCCCACCUAGGCGACGAUCCCUAGCUGGUCUGAGAGGAUGACCGGCCCCACUGGAACUGGGACACGGUCCAGACUCCUACGGGAGGCAGCAGUGGGGAAUAUUGCACAAUGGGCGCAAGCCUGAUGCAGCCAUGCCGCGUGUAUGAAGAAGGCCUUCGGGUUGUAAAGUACUUUCAGCGGGGAGGAAGGCGAUGUGGUUAAUAACCGCGUCGAUUGACGUUACCCGCAGAAGAAGCACCGGCUAACUCCGUGCCAGCCGCCGCCGUAA